UUGAGGAAGGGCCUCAACUCCAUCAUUGCACUGACCGCCUGGGCCAUUUGGAAGCAUCGCAGCGCGGCUAUCUUCGACGGCUUACGCCCCUCCACUAAAGACCUGAUCAAGAGCAUCAAGGUCGAUGCCCGCCUAUGGGCCAAGGCGGGCGUCACCGGACUAGCUAGCAUUUUACCUGUAGCCUGA
This 186-nucleotide ribosomal RNA is filed under the name Triticum aestivum (bread wheat). RNAcentral describes it as "partial small subunit ribosomal RNA". Lineage: Eukaryota; Viridiplantae; Streptophyta; Magnoliopsida; Poales; Poaceae. The record is from RNAcentral.